UAGGGAAUCUUCCACAAUGGACGCCAGUCUGAUGGAGCAACGCCGCGUGAGUGAAGAAGGUUUUCGGAUCGUAAAGCUCUGUUGUUGGUGAAGAAGGAUAGAGGCAGUAACUGGUCUUUAUUUGACGGUAAUCAACCAGAAAGUCACGGCUAACUACGUGCCAGCAGCCGCGGUAAUACGUAGGUGGCAAGCGUUGUCCGGAUUUAUUGGGCGUAAAGCGAGCGCAGGCGGAAUGAUAAGUCUGAUGUGAAAGCCCACGGCUCAACCGUGGAACUGCAUCGGAAACUGUCAUUCUUGAGUGCAGAAGAGGAGAGUGGAAUUCCAUGUGUAGCGGUGGAAGGCGUAGAUAUAUGGAAGAACACCAGUGGCGAAGGCGGCUCUCUGGUCUGCAACUGACGCUGAGGCUCGAAAGCAUGGGUAGCGAACAGG
RNAcentral lists this ribosomal RNA (429 nucleotides) under bacterium. RNAcentral's name for it is "partial 16S ribosomal RNA". It matches the Rfam family "Bacterial small subunit ribosomal RNA", at positions 355 to 776 of the family's 1533-position model. The record is from RNAcentral.